UAAGGAAUAUUGGUCAAUGGACGGAAGUCUGAACCAGCCAUGCCGCGUGCAGGAAGACGGCCCUACGGGUUGUAAACUGCUUUUGUACCGGAAUAAACCUUGAUACGUGUAUCAAGCUGAAUGUACGGUAAGAAUAAGGAUCGGCUAACUCCGUGCCAGCAGCCGCGGUAAUACGGAGGAUCCAAGCGUUAUCCGGAUUUAUUGGGUUUAAAGGGUGCGUAGGCGGCUUUUUAAGUCAGGGGUGAAAGACGGUAGCUUAACUAUCGCAGUGCCUUUGAUACUGAAGAGCUUGAAUACACUAGAGGUAGGCGGAAUGUGACAAGUAGCGGUGAAAUGCAUAGAUAUGUCACAGAACACCAAUUGCGAAGGCAGCUUACUAUGGUGUCAUUGACACUGAGGCACGAAAGCGUGGGGAUCAAACA
Molecule: ribosomal RNA, 422 nt
Filed under: uncultured Mucilaginibacter sp.
Lineage: Bacteria; Pseudomonadati; Bacteroidota; Sphingobacteriia; Sphingobacteriales; Sphingobacteriaceae
Description: bacterial SSU rRNA
Rfam family: Bacterial small subunit ribosomal RNA
Source: RNAcentral